GCCGGGCGUGGUGGUGCACACCUGUAAUCCCAGCUACUCGGGAGGCUGAGGCAGCAGAAUUGCUUGAACCCAGGAGACAGAGGUUGCAGUGAGCUGAGAUCAUGCCACUGCACUCCAGCCUGGGUGACAAAGCAAUACUCUGUCUAAA
Molecule: non-coding RNA, 148 nt
Filed under: Nomascus leucogenys (northern white-cheeked gibbon)
Lineage: Eukaryota; Metazoa; Chordata; Mammalia; Primates; Hylobatidae
Source: Rfam by way of RNAcentral